Molecule: ribosomal RNA, 495 nt
Filed under: uncultured bacterium
Lineage: Bacteria
Description: bacterial SSU rRNA
Rfam family: Bacterial small subunit ribosomal RNA
Source: RNAcentral
GAUGAACGCUAGCGGAAGGCUUAAUACAUGCAAGUCGAGCGGUAGGUGGCUUCGGCCAUUGAGAGCGGCGCACGGGUGAGUAACGCGUACAUGACCUGCCUGUCAGAAGGGGAUAGCCCUGGGAAACUGGGAUUAAUACCCUAUGGUAUUGAUAUUAUGAAUGAUAUCAAUUAAAGUUGAGGCGCUGACAGAUGGAUGUGCGUCUGAUUAGCUAGUUGGUAGGGUAACGGCCUACCAAGGCGACGAUCAGUAGGGGGCGUGAGAGCGUGGUCCCCCACACGGGUACUGAGACACGGACCCGACUCCUACGGGAGGCAGCAGUAAGGAAUAUUGGUCAAUGCCCGCAGGGGGUGAACCAGCCAUUCCGCGUGGAGGAUGAAGGCCCUAUGGGUUGUAAACUUCUUUUAGAUGGGAAGAAAAUGCUAGAUGUAUCUGGUACUGACGGUACCAUCAGAAUAAGCACCGGCUAAACUCCGUGCCAGCAGCCGCGGUAAU